AGGCACUCGCGGACUUUGAGCUGCCACUGGUGUCUGAAGCUUUGAGUUUCAAACGAGUCCUUCCGACCUAGGUGCUCUUGCAUGCGUCACUUUGCGCGCGGUCCCUUACAGAGGGGCAGCCUGAUGGAAUACUGGGAGCAGCGCUACGCGGUGAGCGCGCGCUCUAACACCGCCCUCUGGGUUCCGGGCCGGAAGUGAGAAAGCUAGUGGUUGGGUGUGAGAGCCGCGCAGGCCCGGAACCAGGGUGAGACUAACUCAGCAACUGCAGCCCAGUUACCCCCCCCCUACAGAACGGAAUGGACCCGUCCUUCUGUUCUUUCACGCGCGGGACCCGGCCAGUGAGCGGCACGUGUCUGCGGCCACGGCUGAGGAGCGCGCAGUUAUCGCCAGAGGUGGCGCAAAGGCGCUGGGGAGCCGCAGCGAAAAGGAGCAAGGAGAAGCUUUGAGCUGCCUCCGGCUGGUCUCGCGGGACAGGUGCAAGAGGGACCCGCCACUGAUUGUCUUCCUCUGGCACUAGCCCCUGCGACUGCUGCCUCCCUGGGUGUGAUGUUCAUUGUAGCAGGUACGGUCAGCUCAUUCCUCGCCAUCCCCCGCGUAAAAGGAAUUCACAGCACCAGAAAACAGACUGGCACUCUCUGAAGAUGAAAGAAUGUUAAUAUAAAUACAAAUGUAUUUCUUCUAUAAACCUACAUUUACCAGAGAAGAUCAUACAACUGGAAUGUUAUGUUUCUGUCAGAGAUCUUAGAAGACCAAAUUGCCAGCCUGAUAGAAAUAUUUUGGUUGAAGUAUACAGGUGCAAACUUUGUCAGUUCACAAGCAGUAUUGAGAAUAAAAUCAGAAUUCAAAUGAUGAACACUAAAACAGAUCCCAGUGAAUGAGGGAGAGAAGCAAAGAUGAAGUGGAAGCCCAAUUUGAACAUCUCAUAUCUCUUUUGCAUUUCCAGCAUUAAAACCUCUGUUGCAUUUCCAGCAUGAAGUGAAACAUGAAAAUAGAAAAAAAGUCAGAAGGCCAGACCUGAAAAUUGUGACUUAGCUCAGCCUUUGAAAGGUAUUUACACUUUAAAACCAAGUGCUGAAAGAGUACAAUGUUGCCAUGUGUGACCAAAAACGGAAGUGAAAAGAUGCUUAUUAAAUCCAUGUUAAAUAUCAUGGUGACAAUGACAAUGUGUUUUAUUGCAAUAGCUGUAUGACUGAAUGGAACUUACUUGAAAAUAAUGUAACAACACAGAAGUGGGUUGUGCACACGAAAGCUCAUGAUAUUAUAUAUUAGUCUCUAAGGCUACAUUACAGAGGAAGAUCUAAGUUGCCACUGUUGAUCUUCCAGAGUUUGAAUUAGGGGGUCUUGUUAAGACCUCUACUCCUUGUCCCCACAACCUAAAACAAAAGGGUUAUGUGAACCUGCCUAGGGGUUUUAGACUAGGUGGGCAGAGUGACUUUUUGCUGACACUUUUUGGGGAGGUGGAGGGUGAAAAAAGAAGACAGGCAAGAUAGCGAAGAACCAGUCUGUGUUAGUGUAUUACUUUGGAAAAAGUUAGAGUUUUUUGAGUUCAGGUGUAGGCUAAAGUGGCUUGAGGCUGUAAGCUAGUUUAUUUUGCUGCUGAAUUCCUGAUUACUGUUUUCUGUGAGAAACUUGUAUAUCCCAGAAGGGGGCAGCAAAGGGCUAGUAUUGUUUUGUUCUUACUUUAUAAAUAUUUUUAUUUAAUGGUUUACUUAUUACAUACAUUUAAAUACAGAAAACACACAACAAUCACAAAGCCCCAAUUUAAACAUAUGGAAAUUUAUAGUUAAGGAUGUAUGUUUGAACUCUUUCGUUUGUCUUUUAAUUUCAUUUGGUUCAUAAGAGUGAUUUGAGGGUUUUUUUUCCUGCAUAGUAUUACUGAUUCAAAGCUAGUGCAAUGUAGUGUGUGA
This is a long non-coding RNA of Pelodiscus sinensis (Chinese soft-shelled turtle), 1907 nucleotides long. RefSeq lists it as uncharacterized. The record is from RefSeq and is a predicted model, not a curated record. Lineage: Eukaryota; Metazoa; Chordata; Testudines; Trionychidae.